Molecule: ribosomal RNA, 407 nt
Filed under: uncultured bacterium
Lineage: Bacteria
Description: partial 16S ribosomal RNA
Rfam family: Bacterial small subunit ribosomal RNA
Source: RNAcentral
AUUGAACGCUGGCGGCAGGCCUAACACAUGCAAGUCGAGCGGAGCGGCGGACGGGUGAGUAAUGCCUAGGAAUCUGCCUGGUCGUGGGGGAUAACGUCCGGAAACGGGCGCUCAUACUGCAUACUAUCAGGUUAGCCUAGGCCGGUUUCGCUGGUUGGUGGGGUAAAGGCCUACCAAGGCGACGAUCGGUAACUGGUCUGAGAGGAUGAUCAGUCACACUGGAACUGAGACACGGGCCAGACUCCUACGGGAGGCAGCAGUGGGGAAUAGUGGACAAUGGGCGAAAGCCUGAUCCAGCCAUGCCGCGUGUGUGAAGAAGGUCCUCGGGUUGUAAAGCACUUUAAGUUGGGAGGCGUUACCAACAGAAUAAGCACCGGCUAACUUCGUGCCAGCAGCCGCGGUAAUUC